RNAcentral lists this transfer RNA (86 nucleotides) under Candidatus Bathyarchaeota archaeon. RNAcentral's name for it is "tRNA-Ser". It matches the Rfam family "tRNA". Rfam says of the family: Transfer RNA (tRNA) molecules are approximately 80 nucleotides in length. Their secondary structure includes four short double-helical elements and three loops (D, anti-codon, and T loops). Lineage: Archaea; Thermoproteati; Candidatus Bathyarchaeota. The record is from RNAcentral.
GCAGGGGUAGCCAAGCUUGGCUAAAGGCGCAGAGCCCGCUGAGCCUGUCCCGUAGGGGUUCGUGGGUUCAAAUCCCACCCCCUGCA